Molecule: transfer RNA, 87 nt
Filed under: Pseudomonadota bacterium
Lineage: Bacteria; Pseudomonadati; Pseudomonadota
Also listed under: 3 other names
Description: tRNA-Leu(taa)
Rfam family: tRNA
About the family: Transfer RNA (tRNA) molecules are approximately 80 nucleotides in length. Their secondary structure includes four short double-helical elements and three loops (D, anti-codon, and T loops).
Source: RNAcentral
GCCCGGGUGGUGAAAUUGGUAGACACAAGGGACUUAAAAUCCCUCGCUGGCAACAGCGUGCCGGUUCAAGUCCGGCCCCGGGCACCA